AUGAACGCUAGCUACAGGCUUAACACAUGCAAGUCGAGGGGCAUCAGUUUGGUUUGCUUGCAAACCAAAGCUGGCGACCGGCGCACGGGUGAGUAACACGUAUCCAACCUACCUCAUACUCGGGGAUAGCCUUUCGAAAGAAAGAUUAAUAUCCGAUAGCAUAUAUUUCCCGCAUGGGUUUUAUAUUAAAGAAAUUCGGUAUGAGAUGGGGAUGCGUUCCAUUAGUUUGUUGGGGGGGUAACGGCCCACCAAGACUACGAUGGAUAGGGGUUCUGAGAGGAAGGUCCCCCACAUUGGAACUGAGACACGGUCCAAACUCCUACGGGAGGCAGCAGUGAGGAAUAUUGGUCAAUGGACGCGAGUCUGAACCAGCCAAGUAGCGUGAAGGAUGACUGCCCUAUGGGUUGUAAACUUCUUUUAUAUGGGAAUAAAGUGGUCCACGUGUGGACUUUUGUAUGUACCAUAUGAAUAAGGAUCGGCUACUCCGUGCCGCCAGCCGCGGUAAUACGGAGGAUCCGAGCGUUAUCCGGAUUUAUUGGGUUUAAAGGAGCGUAGGGGAUUGUUAAAUCAGUUGUGGAAGUUUGCGGGGUCAACCGUAGAUUGCAGUUGA
RNAcentral lists this ribosomal RNA (610 nucleotides) under uncultured bacterium. Its description in RNAcentral is "bacterial SSU rRNA". It matches the Rfam family "Bacterial small subunit ribosomal RNA", at positions 29 to 630 of the family's 1533-position model. The record is from RNAcentral.